RNAcentral lists this unclassified non-coding RNA (252 nucleotides) under uncultured Paenibacillaceae bacterium. Its description in RNAcentral is "contains 16S-23S intergenic spacer region". It matches the Rfam family "Bacterial small subunit ribosomal RNA", at positions 524 to 776 of the family's 1533-position model. The record is from RNAcentral. Lineage: Bacteria; Bacillati; Bacillota; Bacilli; Caryophanales; Paenibacillaceae.
UACGUAGGGGGCAAGCGUUGUCCGGAAUUAUUGGGCGUAAAGCGCGCGCAGGCGGCCAUUUAAGUCUCAUGUUUAACCCCAAGGCUCAACCUUGGGUCGCAUGGGAAACUGGGUGGCUUGAGUGUAGGAGAGGAAAGUGGAAUUCCACGUGUAGCGGUGAAAUGCGUAGAGAUGUGGAGGAACACCAGUGGCGAAGGCGACUCUCUGGUCUGUAACUGACGCUGAGGCGCGAAAGCGUGGGGAGCGAACAGG